Lolium perenne is the source of this 1820-nucleotide non-coding RNA. NCBI's taxonomy places the organism in Eukaryota, Viridiplantae, Streptophyta, Magnoliopsida, Poales, Poaceae. The record is from RefSeq and is a predicted model, not a curated record.
UUCAUUCCCAAUUGUGUCUAGACAAUUGAGGUGUUCCAUAUACUUUUCAAAUGAAUCCUUUCUCAAAUGGCAAAACUUGCACAUCUUAUGCACAUCUCUGAUCUACCACAUUGUAUCCCCUCCAUCCUCCAAUUCUUGAUCAAAUGGAUAAUCAUUUGAUACUUUCAAAUCACUCCCAAUUGACCUCUUAUUUGAAGAGCAACUUAUAUUUCAUUAUGCCUAUCUCACUCCUCUAUUAUUUUCCAUCAUCACCUUGACCUCAUGAAUUGAUGAUGUAUGUCAAUAUAUUCAUCCUUGUGAGUAUAUGGUUACUUCACUCACCAUCUCUCCUAGCCUUGCUCUACCAUUGUCUAAAUCACCAUCACCACCAUCAUCUCUUGGACACAUCUUUUAUCAGGUCAGAAUGUCACCACCAUCUACUUUAGCACCCUUGUGCAUUAGUAUCACUUUGCCUAAAAUUGUAUAUCUUUUUAGGCCACCAUUUUAGUAAUUUGUGAGGCACUCAACCUUGGGUGUCAUGCAUGUGUAGCAAUUAUCUCUUGUUGAUCACUUGUGCAUGGCCAAAAAUAUGUGGCCGGCCAUGCCAUGGCACACAUGCAUCAUGCCUCUCCAUUUCCCUCUCUCUCACAUAAUUACUCCACCUUGGGAUGCCUCUCCUCCUUUGUCCCUUCCCAAUGCCACAAAUAAAUUCAGCUUGGGUCAAAUAUCUCUUCCCCAAACCAGCCUCCCAACUAACCCAAUCAAUGAAGAGGCUACCUCCCAACCAACCCAAUCAAUGAGGAGGCAGCCCACCCCCUCUCCCUCUAUAUAAAGGGGCUUGGCAGCCCACCCCCUCCUCACUUGCUCUCACUUUUCCACUCCCCACUCUCUCCUCCACUCCCACACACUCUCCUCCUACCUCUCCCCACGAAAUUGCUGCUCCUCCUAGCUUCAUGGCCGGCCAUGGCCAUGGAAAGCUCACCAAGAUGCAGCUCCUUCCUCCCUCAAGCUCAUCCUCACCAUGAGAGCCCCCCCCUCCAUCUUCUCCCCAACCUUAGAUGGUUUAAUCUCCUCUUCUUCUCCCUCCAUUGCUAAGAUUGGAUCUUGAUGCAGGUGCAUGUUGGUCCAAGCAUGGAGAAGGUUGAGCUAUCCUCAGAUCUGAAGUUCUUGAGCAAAGUUCGUCCAAAACCUUGCAGUAAUUUCUGUUUCUUGCUGUUUCAGAUUCUGGUACGAUCUUGUAAAAUCCGCCAAAUCUCGUGUGCAGAUCCAAAUCGAGUGGUUCAAAGUUCUGCAGAUAGGGGAUACUUAGUUGUGCCAUGGUGAUACCUAGAGAGGCAAUUGCUAAGUCGUGGCACUCUCAUACCUUUACUAGAUGCGAACAAUUUCGGAGGAGAAGAAGAAGAAGUGGAAUCGGACAAGGAUUUUAUUUGUACUGUGGGAAUUCUUAUUUGAUGGAGUUGAAGAAGUCCAGGGACAAAUAAGCCAAGGCAAGCCAUCUCUUGAUCUCUGAAUGUUUAAUCACAUAUUGUGGUUACUUUGUUGUUGUUCUUGUCUCUCGAUCUAUCUUGUGUUGUUUCUACUUAUGUUGAUGGAGCAUGCUCACCAUGAGCAUGUUUAUUCUCUUUGACACCUCACCUACAACCCCCUUUAGUGAAAUGGUGGUCUUCAUUAUCAUGAUCUUGGUGUACCCUCUAAGUGUGAGGGGUAUGCCCACUUAUCUUGUGUGUGUCGACCUCUUGACACCCUUUUUGCACCCCUUAGUGGUAUGAUGGUUAGUAUCAUGCCCUUGUUAUACCUUCUACCUUGUGAUGCUAUGCAUACUUACUCCCAAGAGUGCCACA